Molecule: ribosomal RNA, 468 nt
Filed under: uncultured bacterium
Lineage: Bacteria
Description: partial 16S ribosomal RNA
Rfam family: Bacterial small subunit ribosomal RNA
Source: RNAcentral
GACGAACGCUGGCGGCGUGCUUAACACAUGCAAGUCGAACGGAAAGGCCCUGCUUUUGUGGGGUGCUCGAGUGGCGAACGGGUGAGUAACACGUGAGUAACCUGCCCUUGACUUGGUGAUAACUUCAGGAAACUGGUGCUAAUACCGGAUAGGAGCUCCUGCUGCAUGGUGGGGGUUGGAAAGUUUCGGCGGUUGGGGAUGGACUCGCGGCUUAUCAGCUUGUUGGUGGGGUAGUGGCUUACCAAGGCUUUGACGGGUAGCCGGCAUGAGAGGGUGACCGGCGACAUUGGGACUGAGAUACGGCCCAGAGUCCUACGGGAGACAGCAGUGGGGAAUAUUGCACAAUGGGCGGAAGCCUGAUGAAGCAACGCCGCGUGCGGGAUGACGGCCUUCGGGUUGUAAACCGCUUUAGCCUGUGACGAAGCGUGAGUGACGGUAAUGGGUAAAGAAGCACCGGCUAACUACGUG